UUUUUUUCUUGACUUGCUCUUAAAUGAGGAACACGUAUAAAUAUGUUUUUGUCUGUACUACGCAUCACAAGCACUCCCAAGGUGCCGCUCGCCACCCAGUGCCUCCCUCUCGCGGCGGCGCAGGCUCCCCACAAGUGGGAAGUGAGGGCCGGAUAGGAUACGUCCGAGUCACACCCGCACUUCGCCUAUUGUAUGAUACAAUCGUAUUCACGGUCGCAGGCUACUCCAACGUAACGCCAUCUAGGGCUCGACGGCCGGCAUCAGUAGCGAUACGACGCUCUGACUCCCCGCACGCCGUAGAUGCUUGAACCCUGUCACCACUAGAAGUGGUUCGGCAUUGGCAGGGGGAUAGGGUGGGGGCUGCUUGGCUUCCCCGCACAGAGUGGGGGUACUGGACCCUGUGAUGCGACUCUGGGGGGUCCCCUGUUCGCAUGCCAUCCUUGCAUAUACUUGAAACAGAGCGACACAAAACCCACUCGAAGAUCCUCUUCCUUGGAUUGACUGAACGGCGCAUGAAAGGUCGGACGAUAGUCAUUCAGCACCGCACAUGUCGUGGGAGAUGUGUUUGCGCUGUGGUCGACAUGUUUGCCGGUUCACAGUGCCACCCAACAGUUGUGCAAGGGGGUUCUGGAAAUUGGGUAAUGCUAGUGGCAGUUCUUGCCAGCUAAAUGAAGCGUUUAGAAAGAGCUGAAGGGAGCUGUGAAACUUCGGUGCGUGUGCAAGGACGCGUGAAAGUCUCCCUCCUCUUCACCCGAGCGAAUUGGUUUGCUUUUCAUGAUGAAUGCUCAGCCUACUACGCAAAGUCAACGCAUUCUGCAGCUGAUGCGAUGCUUAGAACUCCUGCAGCGGUCCACUCGUCCUGGGCCCUUAUUACUCUUUUACCCCCCCCCCCCCGCGAUCCGUGGUCUUGCGUGUGCCGCGCCGCAAUCUCGUGGAAGGCAGAUGAAACCCUCUAUCGGGUACGACUAUCACUUUAGAAGAGUAUCCAGCUUGAUUUCGUUUGCGGGCCGAGCCCCUUUGAGUGUCGAUUCAGCUCCUCAGUGUUAUCAUUAUUUGGAACCGCACCGUCACUCAGGGCUCUGUUUUUUUCUGCAUUGCGUCUAUUAUAAAGUCCAGCAAAGUGACUGAACUCCGCUG
This 1137-nucleotide unclassified non-coding RNA is filed under the name Leishmania donovani. RNAcentral's name for it is "gene:unknown". The record is from RNAcentral. Lineage: Eukaryota; Euglenozoa; Kinetoplastea; Trypanosomatida; Trypanosomatidae.